This 83-nucleotide transfer RNA is filed under the name Scleropages formosus (Asian bonytongue). RNAcentral describes it as "tRNA-Asn". The record is from RNAcentral. Lineage: Eukaryota; Metazoa; Chordata; Actinopteri; Osteoglossiformes; Osteoglossidae.
GAUGAGAUGACCGAGUGGUUAAGGCGAUGGACUAUUAAGCCAUUGUGCUCUGCACGCGUGGGUUCGGGUCCCAAAUUUCAACU